Molecule: unclassified non-coding RNA, 516 nt
Filed under: Hevea brasiliensis (rubber tree)
Lineage: Eukaryota; Viridiplantae; Streptophyta; Magnoliopsida; Malpighiales; Euphorbiaceae
Source: RNAcentral
ACAUGACCUAGAAACAUUACACAUAUCAGCCUAGUUCUUGGAACAAAGGCUUAGUUGAGUUGAGUUCCCUAAUAAAAUUACAAAGUUACAAAUCGCAAAAGUAUAAGAAUGGAACAAGUUAGGCUUAUGCAACAUUCUAUUAUUAGAACACGCCACAAUCAGUGAAGGAUAGGGGAUCCAUCUAAAAUAUCAUGAUAAACCAUUCAACAUCAACUCCAAAAAACAACCCAUUUGCAUACAUCAUUGCACAUGCUUCAAGAGUCAAGUCAAGUUUAUCAAAAAUUUUAAUUUGAGUUUCAAAUAGAAUACUACAUUUUAAACUGGAUUGCUUUACAGCUUCUAGAAGCACCAUGAAACGAUCACUGGAAGAGAUAAUCAAAAAGAAAUAUUAUUAGUUUUACUUGAGGAUCAGCCCGAAUCAAGUUAUGGAUAUAGUAAUGCAACAAACAAGUAGAAUAACGCAAAAUGGUUAAGCCAAUCAAGUUUACAGCUGUAAGUAGAAAAUAGAAGCAUACC